RNAcentral lists this ribosomal RNA (254 nucleotides) under uncultured bacterium. Its description in RNAcentral is "partial 16S ribosomal RNA". It matches the Rfam family "Bacterial small subunit ribosomal RNA", at positions 524 to 776 of the family's 1533-position model. The record is from RNAcentral.
GACGUAGGGCGCGAGCGCUGUCCGGAUUUAUUGGGCGUAAAGAGCUCGUAGGCGGCUCGUUGCGUCGGCUGUGAAAACCUGCAGCUUAACUGUGGGCGUGCGGUCGAUACGGGCAUCACUGGAGUUCGGCAGGGGAGACUGGAAUUCCUGGUGUAGCGGUGAAAUGCGCAGAUAUCAGGAGGAACACCGGUGGCGAAGGCGGGUCUCUGGGCCGAUACUGACGCUGAGGAGCGAAAGCGUGGGGAGCAAACAGG